This 327-nucleotide ribosomal RNA is filed under the name uncultured eukaryote. RNAcentral's name for it is "partial 18S ribosomal RNA". It matches the Rfam family "Eukaryotic small subunit ribosomal RNA", at positions 1470 to 1796 of the family's 1831-position model. The record is from RNAcentral.
CCCUUAGAUGUUCUGGGCCGCACGCGCGCUACACUGACGAAUGCAACGAGCUUAUAACCUUGGCCGAAAGGUCUGGGUAAUCUCCAAAUUUCGUCGUGAUGGGGAUAGAUUAUUGCAAUUAUUAAUCUUCAACGAGGAAUGCCUAGUAAGCGCAAGUCAUCAGCUUGCGUUGAUUACGUCCCUGCCCUUUGUACACACCGCCCGUCGCUCCUACCGAUUGAAUGGUCCGGUGAAGCGUUGGGACCGUGGCCUUUGGACGGUUCGCCGUCUGUUGGCUGCGGGAAGUUCGUUAAACCUUAUCAUUUAGAGGAAGGAGAAGUCGUAACA